UACGGAGGGAGCUAGCGUUGUUCGGAAUUACUGGGCGUAAAGCGCGCGUAGGCGGCUUCGCAAGUCAGAGGUGAAAGCCCGGGGCUCAACCCCGGAACUGCCUUUGAGACUGCGUCGCUAGAAUCCAGGAGAGGUGAGUGGAAUUCCGAGUGUAGAGGUGAAAUUCGUAGAUAUUCGGAAGAACACCAGUGGCGAAGGCGGCUCACUGGACUGGUAUUGACGCUGAGGUGCGAAAGCGUGGGGAGCAAACAGG
This 253-nucleotide ribosomal RNA is filed under the name uncultured bacterium. RNAcentral describes it as "partial 16S ribosomal RNA". It matches the Rfam family "Bacterial small subunit ribosomal RNA", at positions 524 to 776 of the family's 1533-position model. The record is from RNAcentral. RNAcentral also lists the same sequence under 1 other name.